This 511-nucleotide ribosomal RNA is filed under the name Halorubrum sodomense. Its description in RNAcentral is "bacterial SSU rRNA". It matches the Rfam family "Archaeal small subunit ribosomal RNA", at positions 303 to 814 of the family's 1478-position model. The record is from RNAcentral. Lineage: Archaea; Methanobacteriati; Methanobacteriota; Halobacteria; Halobacteriales; Haloferacaceae.
CCGUCCCGCCGCCCCCGCCCGACGGGGUGCAGCAGGCGCGAAACCUUUACACUGCACGACAGUGCGAUAGGGGGAUCCCAAGUGCACAGGCAUAGCGCCUGUGCUUUUCGGCACCCUAAGGCGGUGCCAGAAUAAGGGCUGGGCAAGACCGGUGCCAGCCGCCGCGGUAAUACCGGCAGCCCAAGUGAUGGCCGAUCUUAUUGGGCCUAAAGCGUCCGUAGCUGGCCGCGCAAGUCCAUCGGGAAAUCCACCUGCUCAACAGGUGGGCGCCCGGUAGAAACUGCGUGGCUUGGGACCGGAAGGCGCGACGGGUACGUCCGGGGUAGGAGUGAAAUCCCGUAAUCCUGGACGGACCGCCGAUGGCGAAAGCACGUCGCGAGAACGGAUCCGACAGUGAGGGACGAAAGCCAGGGUCUCGAACCGGAUUAGAUACCCGGGUAGUCCUGGCCGUAAACAAUGUCUGCUAGGUGUGGCUCCCACUACGAGUGGGUGCUGUGCCGUAGGGAAGCCG